GCCGGGGUGGCGGAACAGGCAGACGCAGAGGACUUAAAAUCCUCGGAGCUUUGCUCAUGCGGGUUCAAGUCCCGCCUCCGGCA
This 83-nucleotide transfer RNA is filed under the name bacterium. RNAcentral describes it as "tRNA-Leu". It matches the Rfam family "tRNA". From Rfam's summary of the family: Transfer RNA (tRNA) molecules are approximately 80 nucleotides in length. Their secondary structure includes four short double-helical elements and three loops (D, anti-codon, and T loops). The record is from RNAcentral.